Haliotis rufescens (red abalone) is the source of this 873-nucleotide long non-coding RNA. RefSeq lists it as uncharacterized. The record is from RefSeq and is a predicted model, not a curated record. The transcript has 2 exons. NCBI's taxonomy places the organism in Eukaryota, Metazoa, Mollusca, Gastropoda, Lepetellida, Haliotidae.
UCCUGAGAAACAUAUGAUUAUAGUGGGCGGGCAGGUUUUGGUCAGGGCUGGCAAGUAUUUCAGCUAGCCAGUCCUGUGGUCUGGCUGAAAAUUUUGGGAGUUUCAUACCCUGCAAAUACUUGGGUUCCAUGGGAAGCAUAUCUGUGUAUUCAGUGAACAGGUGGCACAAACGUUUCUCUUUCGACUCAAACCCGCAACCCACGUGUCUGUGUGAUGCUUGCAGCUCGAGUGGCACAGUUUUAGGACAUGUAUUGGGUGCACAAGAUCUACAACAUUUUAAGAAAUAUGCAAUACUUUUAGAAAUAAUUAUGGCAGUUAUCAGGUAUGUUCAGAGGAAUGGAGCUUUACUUUGUCCAUCUCAACACAUGGUUGUUUUCUACUUUUAACAACGCGCAAUCUAUAUGCAAUGUUGCAAAUGUGUCACAAAGAUUGAUUUGGGAAGAGAUCAGGAAAGAAAGGAAGAGAAAGUUUUUAAAGAUUUGCAUAGGAGAAAGUCUUUGAACCAAGGUAUUUUUUUAAUAGCAGAUGGAAAUAAAGACUGUACAGACAUGUCGUAAAACAUCACCUUGGAGCACACAGCCUCUUUCAUUCAUUUUAGCGAUUUUUGUGUACUUGAACAUGCCAGAAGUGUAAAUGGAGUUUUCAACUAUUUGAACAUUACUGAGGAUUUUGAUGUCGUUUUUACAAAGUUUACUGUAAUAUUAAAAAUUGUCACUUCUGGUGAUCGAAAAAUAAUUCUCAAUUACCCUUGUCCUUUCUGGGAACACAUUCUGAGUAUCCGCCUCAACCCUGGAAACACAGUAUGUUUAUUUCCUACAUUUCUUGUGAAUGUAACAAGAAAACCACAUCCAUAAUACUCAGAACUGUAGUUGU